This is a long non-coding RNA of Prinia subflava (tawny-flanked prinia), 527 nucleotides long. RefSeq lists it as uncharacterized. The transcript has 3 exons. Lineage: Eukaryota; Metazoa; Chordata; Aves; Passeriformes; Cisticolidae. The record is from RefSeq and is a predicted model, not a curated record.
CACCGUGGGGGGGCUCGGACAGCCGGGAUUGUCCCUGCUCUCUCCCUGGAGGUGACAUGGAGGGGACAUGGAGGGGACAGGGCACAGGUGGCAUCACUCGUGGAGAGCUCAGACCUCCGGAACUGUCCCUGCCCUGUCCUUGGUGACAUGGAGGUGACACAGCACAGGUGACAUCACCCAAGGUCACUAUGGGUGGGGUUUGUCCCUGCAGGUGACACGGAGGUGACACGGCACAUGUGGCACCCCCAGGGUCACUGUGGGCAGGGUUUUGUCCCUGCAGGUGACACAGAGGUGACACGGCACCGGUGGCACCCCCAAGGUCCCUGCGGGGGGUGCAGCCCCCCUGGGUGACCCCAGAGUGUCCCCUCUGUCCCCGCAGUGGCCGCAGGGGUCGGUGGCUCCCUCGUGUCCCUGCUCCUGCUCCUGGGGGCCAUCGCGGGCUGGCGCCGCUGCCACCGCCAGGCCCCCAGGAGCCCCCAGGACAGGAGCCCCGCGGUGUCCCCUGAGCAGGGGGAGGUGCUCUACAG